This 346-nucleotide long non-coding RNA is filed under the name Mus spicilegus (steppe mouse). RNAcentral's name for it is "lncRNA (ENSMSIG00000004482.1)". The record is from RNAcentral. Lineage: Eukaryota; Metazoa; Chordata; Mammalia; Rodentia; Muridae.
GCGGUCUCUGCACGCGGUGGCCACAACCUGGCCCCAACUUCCCUGCUCCCCAGGAAGAACAGAGGGCGCCCAUUUCCCCCGCCACCGGGAACCUGGGGUUUUCUGAAGCUGCCUCCCCCACACCCUACUUGGCACCACCCCUGUCUUCAGAUGACUCGGUUUCACCAUGACUACCCCAUAAAAUCCGGGAACUGCCAAAGACUUGGAAAAUAGGCACAUUCAGUCCCUGAGGACUUAAACUUUCUCAUUUCCAAAAGAAAAUUAUUUAUGUCCAACCCAUGAAUCAGAUACCAAGGGAUGUUUUUCAAAUUCCUAGCCCAGGAUGACAUCCAAGAAGGAAGGGAGG